CCUACGGGAGGCAGCAGUGAGGAAUAUUGGUCAAUGGCCGGGAGGCUGAACCAGCCAAGUCGCGUGAGGGAAGACGGCCCUACGGGUUGUAACCCUCUUUUGUCAGGAAGCAAGGUGCAGGUUGGGACCUGCUGUGAGAGUACCUGCAGAAAAAGCAUCGGCUAAGUCCGUGCCAGCAGCCGCGGUAAUACGGAGGAGGCGAUCGUUAUCCGGAUUUAAUGGGUUUAAAGGGUGCGCAGGCGGAGGCACAAGUCAGCGGUAAAAUCGCGGGGCUCAACCCCGCGCCGCCGUUGAAACUGUGUCCGUUGAGUGCGCGAAGGGUAGGCGGAAUGCGUGGUGUAGCGGUGAAAUGCAUAGAUAUCACGCAGAACUCCGAUCGCGAAGGCAACCUACCGGCGCGCAACUGACGCUCAUGCACGAAAGCGUGGGUAUCGAACAGGAUUAGAUACCCGGGUAGUC
RNAcentral lists this ribosomal RNA (459 nucleotides) under uncultured bacterium. RNAcentral's name for it is "partial 16S ribosomal RNA". It matches the Rfam family "Bacterial small subunit ribosomal RNA", at positions 338 to 795 of the family's 1533-position model. The record is from RNAcentral.